Molecule: ribosomal RNA, 497 nt
Filed under: uncultured bacterium
Lineage: Bacteria
Description: partial 16S ribosomal RNA
Rfam family: Bacterial small subunit ribosomal RNA
Source: RNAcentral
GAUGAACGCUGGCGGCGUGCCUAAUACAUGCCAGUCGAGCGAACGGACGAGAAGCUUGCUUCUCUGAUGUUAGCGGCGGACGGGUGAGUAACACGUGGAUAACCUACCUAUAAGACUGGGAUAACUUCGGGAAACCGGAGCUAAUACCGGAUAAUAUUUUGAACCGCAUGGUUCAAUAGUGAAAGACGGUCUUGCUGUCACUUAUAGAUGGAUCCGCGCUGCAUUAGCUAGUUGGUAAGGUAACGGCUUACCAAGGCAACGAUGCAUAGCCGACCUGAGAGGGUGAUCGGCCACACUGGAACUGAGACACGGUCCAGACUCCUACGGGAGGCAGCAGUAGGGAAUCUUCCGCAAUGGGCGAAAGCCUGACGGAGCAACGCCGCGUGAGUGAUGAAGGUCUUCGGAUCGUAAAACUCUGUUAUUAGGGAAGAACAUAUGUGUAAGUAACUGUGCACAUCUUGACGGUACCUAAUCAGAAAGCCACGGCUAACUACGUG